CUGCUGCCUCCCGUAGAAGUUUGGACCGUGUCUCAGUUCCAAUGUGGGGGACCUUCCUCUCAGAACCCCUAUCCAUCGAUGCCUUGGUGGGCCGUUACCCCGCCAACAAGCUAAUGGAACGCAUCCCCAUCGAUGACCGGAAAUUCUUUAAUAGUUCUACCAUGCCGGAAGAACUAUGCCAUCGGGUAUUAAUCUUUCUUUCGGAAGGCUAUCCCCGAGUCAUCGGCAGGUUGGACACGUGUUACUCACCCGUGCGCCGGUCGCCA
RNAcentral lists this ribosomal RNA (266 nucleotides) under uncultured bacterium. RNAcentral describes it as "partial 16S ribosomal RNA". The record is from RNAcentral.